CUCUCAAGGAAAAAAAUGCUCACUUCAGCAGGACAGUGCAGAGAAGAUUAGCACAGCCCCAGCGCAAGGAUGACACCACAUCUAUCAAGCAUUCCCUAUUUAU
Molecule: non-coding RNA, 103 nt
Organism: Otolemur garnettii (small-eared galago)
Lineage: Eukaryota; Metazoa; Chordata; Mammalia; Primates; Galagidae
Source: Rfam